GACGAACGCUGGCGGCGUGCCUAAUACAUGCAAGUCGAACGCAGUGGGGACGGGUGAGUAACACGUGGGAAACCGCGCGUCAGAGGGGAAAACACUUGGAAACAGGUACGAAACCGAUCCUGAUGGAUGGACCCGCGGUGCAUUAGCUAGUUGGUGAGGUAACGGAUAACCAAGGCCACGAUGCAUAGCCGACCUGAGAGGUUGAUCGGCCACACUGGGACUGAGACACGGCCCAGACUCCGACGGGAGGCAGCAGUAGGGAAUCUUCGGCAAUGGAUGAAAGUCGUACCGAGCAACUCCGCGUGAGUGAAGAAGGUUUUCGGAUCGUAAUACUCUGUUUUUAGAGAAGCGGUAUCUAACCAGAAAGCCACGGCUAACUACGUGCCAGUAGCCGCGGUAAUAC
RNAcentral lists this ribosomal RNA (403 nucleotides) under uncultured bacterium. Its description in RNAcentral is "partial 16S ribosomal RNA". It matches the Rfam family "Bacterial small subunit ribosomal RNA", at positions 28 to 526 of the family's 1533-position model. The record is from RNAcentral.